AUACGUAGGUGGCAAGCGUUGUCCGGAUUUACUGGGCGUAAAGGGAGCGUAGGUGGAUAUUUAAGUGGGAUGUGAAAUACUCGGGCUUAACCUGAGUGCUGCAUUCCAAACUGGAUAUCUAGAGUGCAGGAGAGGAAAGUAGAAUUCCUAGUGUAGCGGUGAAAUGCGUAGAGAUUAGGAGGAACACCAGUUGCGAAGGCGGCUCUCUGGACUGUAACUGACACUGAGGCACGAAAGCGUGGGGAGC
This 247-nucleotide ribosomal RNA is filed under the name uncultured bacterium. Its description in RNAcentral is "partial 16S ribosomal RNA". It matches the Rfam family "Bacterial small subunit ribosomal RNA", at positions 523 to 769 of the family's 1533-position model. The record is from RNAcentral.